Molecule: long non-coding RNA, 5638 nt
Organism: Symphalangus syndactylus (siamang)
Lineage: Eukaryota; Metazoa; Chordata; Mammalia; Primates; Hylobatidae
Source: RefSeq, a predicted model, not a curated record
UCUGCUUCAUGAGGAACCUAAAAUAGUUUCCAACAGCCUGAGAUUCCUUAAAGAAAACAGAGAAGGUGCCAGACUCCCUUUUGGGAAGAAAUCUCUGUUUUUCCUUAUGGAACCCCAAGAGUGUAAACAGAGAAGUUCAUCUCAGAUCUUAAACUGCUUGCUUUUGUAUUGUGUUAACCUGAUUUUUUUUGACUAAAAUAGUUAUUACAACAGAGGUUACUCUUGGGUGUUUAAAUCAAGGAAGGGUUUGGUUUAGACACUUAGAGAAAUGUCUUUGUUAAAAAAAAAGUGCACUGUAAAAGCAUCACAUGGUCUAGCCUCAUAAUAAUUGUCAGGCCUCUGAGCCCAAGCUAAGCCAUCAUAUCCCCUGUGACUUGCACGUAUACAUCCAGAUGGCCUGAAGCACUUGAAGAUCCACAAAAGAAGCGAAAAUAGCCUUAACUGAUGGCAUUCCACCAUUGUGAUUUGUUUCUGCCCUACCCUAACUGAUCAAUGUACUUUGUAAUCUCCCCCACGCUUAAGAAGAUUCUUUGUAAUCUCCCCCACCCUUAAGAAGGUUCUUUGUAAUUCUCCCUAUCCUUGAGAAUGUACUUUGUGAGAUCCACUCCCUGCCCGCAAAACAUUGCUCCUAACUCCACUGCCUAUCCCAAAGCCUGUAAGAACUAAUGAUAAUCCCACCACCCUUCGCUGACUCUCUUUUUGGACUCAGCCCGCCUGCACCCAGGUGAAAUAAACAGCCUUGCUGCUCACACGAAGCCUGUUUGGUGGUCUCUUCACGUGGACGUGACAGACAUUUGGUGCCGAAGACCGGGAUCAGAGGGACUUCUUCGGGAGACCAGUCCCCUGUCCUCACCCUCACUCCAUGAAGAGAUCCACCUACAACCCGGGUCCUCAGACCAACCAGCCCAAGGAACAUCUCACCAAUUUCAAAUCGAUAGAGACAAAGGAGGCACAUUUCAUCCAUGGACCCAAAACUCCGGUGCCAGUCAUGGACUCAGGAAGACAGCCUUCCCUUGGUGUUUAAUCACUGUGGGGACGCCUGCCUGAUUAUUCACCCACACUCCAUUGGUGUCUGAUCACUGCAGGGACACCUGCCUUGGUCAUUCACCCACAUUCCCUUGGUGGCAAGUUAAUUGUGGGAAUGCCUGCUUUGGCUGCUCACCCACAUGCAGCCCAGGGCUGCUCCCCACCCUCCUUCUCCAUGUCUCUACCUUUCUCUUUAAACUCACCUCCUUCACUAUGGGCAACCUUCCACCCUCCAUUCCCCCUUCUUCUCCCUUAGCCUGUGUUCUCAAGAACUUAAAACCUCUUCAACUCACACCUGACCUAAAACUUAAUGCCUUAUUUUCUUCUGCAAUACUGCUUGGCCGCAAUACAAACUCAACAGUAGUUCCAAGUGGCCAGAGAAUGGCACUUUUGAUAUGUCUAUCCUACAAGAUCUAGAUAAUUUUUGUUGAAAAAUAGGCAAAUGGUCUGAGGUGCCUGACGUCCAGGCAAUCUUCUACACAUUGGUCCCUCCCUAGUCUCUGCUCCCAAUGUGACUCAUCCCAAAUCCUUCUUCUUUCUCUCCUGUCUGUUCCUUCAGUCUCCACCCCAAGCUCUGAGUUCUUUGAAUCCUUCUUUUCUACAGAUCCAUCUGACCUCUCCCCUCCUCCCCACGCUGCUCCUCGCCAGGCUGAGCCAGGUCCCAGUUCUUCCUCAGCCGCUGCUCCCCCACCCUAUAAUCCUUUUAUCACUUCCUCUCCUCACACCCAGUCUGGUUUACAGUUUCCUUCUGUGACUAGCUCUCCCCCACCUGCCCAACAAUUUCCUCUUAGAGAAGUGGCUGGAGCUGAAGGCAUAGUCUGGGUACAUGUGCCUUUUUCUCUAUCAGACUUUUCCCAAAUCAGCCAGUGUUUAGGCUCUUUCUCAUCAGACCCUACUAAAUAUAUACAGGAAUUCUGAUAUCUAACUGUCCUACAAUUUAACCUGGAGUGACUUAAAUGUCAUCCUAACUUCUACCUUCUCCCCAGAUGAAUGGGAAAGAGUUUUUUCUCUAGCCCAAUCUCACACUGAUAACCGCCGACUUCAUGAGCCAGACCUCCAUGAAGGCAUUAGAGCAGUUUCCUGAGAAGAUCCCCAUUGGAACUAUCAGGCAGAUUCCCCAGGUAUAGCUAGGUGAGAUUACAUGAUUUCCUGCUUAGUUGAAGGGCUUUAAAAGGGAGCUUACAAAGCUUUUAAUUAUGACAAACUUAAAAAACUACCCAAGGUAAAGAUGAAAACCCAGCCCAUUUCAUGGCCCACUUAGCAGCAACCUUUAGAUGCUUUACCGCCCUAGACCCAGAGGGGCUGGAAGGCUGUCUUAUUCUCAAUAUGCAUUUUAUUACCCAGUCCACUCCCGACAUUAGAAAAACCUCCAAAAAUUAUAUUCCAGCCCUCAAACCCCACAACAGGACCUAAUUAACCUCACUUUCAAGGUGUACAAUAAUAAAGAGUUGCAGUUACUUGCCUCUGCUGUGAGAGAAACCCCAGCCAUAUCUCCAGCACACAAGAACUUCAAAAUGCCUAAGCCACAGCAGUCAGCCAUUCCUUCAGGACUUCCUCCCCCAGGAUCUCGCUUCAAGUGCCGGAAAUCUGGCCACUAGGCCAAGGAAUGCCCACAGCCCGGGAUUCCUCCCAAGCCAUGUCCCAUCUCUGCGGGACCCCACUGGAAAUUGGACUGUCUGACUGGCCCAAGGCUCUGACUGACUCCUUCCCAGAUCUUCUCGGCUUAGCGGCUGAAGACUGACGUUGCCCGAUCACCUCGGAAGCCUCCUGGACCUUCACAGAUGCUUUGGGUAACUCUUACAGUGGAAGGUAAGUCCGUCCCUUUCUUAAUCAAUACGGAGGCUACCCACUUCACAUUACCUUCUUUUCAGGGGCCUGUUUCCCUUGAUUCCAUAACCAUUGUGGGUAUUGAUGGCCAGGCUGCUAAACCUCUUAAAACUCCCCAACUCUGGUGCCAACUUGGACAACAUUCUUUAAUGCACUCCUUUUUAGUUAUCCCCACCUUCCCAGCUCCCUUAUUAUGUCGAGACAUUUUAACUAAAUUAUCUGCUUCCCUGACUAUUCCUGGGCUACAGCCACACCUCUUUGCUGCCUUUUCCCACAGUUCAAAGCCUCCUUCACAUCCUCUCUUUGUAUCUCCCCACCUUAAUCCACAAGUAUAGGACACCUCUACUCCCUCGUUGGCGAUGAAUGAUGUACCCCUUCCCAACCCAUUAAAACCCAAUCACCCUUACCCCACUCAACACCAGUAUCCCAUCCCAUAGCAGGCUUUCAAAGCAUUAAAGCCUGUUAUCACUCGCCUGUUACAGUAUGGCCUUUUAAAGCCUGUAAGCUCUCCUUAAAAUUCCCCCAUUUUACCUGUCCAAAAACCGAACAAGUCUUACAGGUUAGUUCAGGAUCUGUGCCUUAUCAAGCAAAUUGUCUUGCCUACCCACCCCGUGGUGCCAAACCCAUAGACUCUCCUAUUCUCAAUACCUCCCUCCACAACCCAUUCUGUUCUAGAUAAACCUAGCUGACCCCAUAAAUCCUAAAUCCUUUCCCCACUCCCCUUUCCACUUCUUAAAAAACAGCCCUAAAACUGCUCCCACACUAGCUCUCCCUAACUCAUCCCAGCCUUUUUCAUUACACACAGCCAAAGUGCAGGGCUGUGCGGUCAAAAUUCUUACACAAGGACUGGGACCAUGCCCUGUGGCCUUUUUAUCCAAACAACUUGACCUUAACUGUUUUAGCCUAGCCCUCAUGUCUGUGUGCGGCAGCUGCCGCUGCCUUAAUACUUUUAGAGGCCCUCAAAAUCACCAACUAUUCUCAACUCACUCUCUACAGUUCUCAUAACUUCCAAAAUCUAUUUUCUUCCUCAUACCUGAUGCAUAUACUUUCUGCCCCCUUCCACUACCUCUCAGCAAGUCAAACUCAUUGCCUUAACUCAAGCCCUCCCCCUUGCAAAGGGACUACGUGUCAAUAUUUAUACUGACUCUAAAUAUGCCUUCCAUAUCCUGCACCACCAUGCUGUUACAUGGGCUGAAAGAGGUUUCCUCACUAUGCAAGGGUCCUCCAUCAUUAAUGCCUCUUUAAUAAAAACUCUUCUCAAGGCCACUUUACUUCCAAAGGAAGCUGGAGUCAUUCACUGCAAGGACCAUCAAAAGGCGUCAGAUCCCAUCACUCAGGGCAACACUUAUGCUGAUAAGGUAGCUUAAAAAGCAGCUAGCGUCCCAACUUCUGUCCCUCAUGGCCAGUUUUUCUCCUUCUCAUUGGUCACUCCCACCUACUCCCCCACUGAAACUUCCACCUAUCAAUCUCUUCCCACACAAGGCAAAUGGUUCUUAGACCAAGGAAAAUAUCUCCUUCCAGCCUCACAGGCCCAUUGUAUUCUGUCAUCAUUUCAUAGCCUCUUCCAUGUAGGUUACAAACUGCUAGCCCACCUCUUAGAACCUCUCAUUUCCUUUCCAUUGUGAAAAUCUAUCCUCAAGGAAAUCACUUCUCAGUGUUCUAUCUGCUAUUCUACUCCUCCUCAGGGAUUGUUCAGGCCCCCUCCCUUCUCUACACAUCAAGCUCGGGGAUUUGCCCCUGCCAAGGACUGGCAAAUUUACUCACAUGCCCCAAGUCAGAAAACUAAAAUACUUCUUGGUCUAGGUAGACACUUUCACUGGAUUGGUAGAGGCCUUUCCCACAGGGUCUGAGAAGGCCACCAUGGUCAUUUCUUCCCUUCUGUCAGACAAUUCCUCGGUUUGGCCUUCCCACCUCUAUAUAGGCUGAUAAUGGACCAGCCUUUAGUAGUCAAAUCACCCAAGCAGUUUCUCAGGCUCUUCGUAUUCAGUGAAACCUUCAUACCCCUUACCAUCCUCAAUCUUCAGGAAAGGUACAACAGACUAAUGGUCUUUUAAAAACACACCUCACCAAGCUCAGCCUCCAACUUAAAAAGGAGGACUCUCUGAAGGAUAGAGCCCCAAAACUCACCAACCAAGCAAGUAAUUACACUGAACCCCCUUGAGCACUCUCUAAUUGGAUGUCCAGGGUCCUCCCAAUUCUUAGUCAUUUAAUACCUGUUUUUCUCCUUCUCUUAAUUCGGACCUUGUGUCUUCCAUUUAGUUUCUCAAUUCAUACAAAACCAUAUCCAGGCCAUCACCAGUCAUUCCAUGUGACAAAUGCUAUUUUUAACAACCCCACAAUAUCACCCCUUACCACAAAAUCUUCCUUUAGCUUAAUCUCUCCUACUCUAGGUUCCCAUGCCACCCCUAAUCCUGCUCAAACCAGCCCUGAGAAACAUCACCCAUUAUCUCUCCAUACCAGUCCCCCCAAAUUUUUGCUGCCUCAACACUUCAACACUAUUUUAUAUUAUUUUUCUUUUUUUUUUUUUUUUUUUUUUUGAGACGGAGUCUUUCUCUGUCCCCCAGGCUGGAGUGCGGUGGCGCGAUCUCGGCUCACCGCAACCUCCACCUCCUGGGUUCACGCCAUUCUCCUGCCUCAGCCUCCCGAGUAGCUGGGACCACAGGCGCCCGCCAGCACGCCCGGCUAAUUUUUUUGUAUUUUUUAGUAGAGACGGGGUUUCACCGUGUUAGCCAGGAUGGUCUCGAUCUCCUGACCUCGUGAUCCACCCGCCUCGGCCUCCCAAAGU